This 230-nucleotide long non-coding RNA is filed under the name Nicotiana benthamiana. Its description in RNAcentral is "long non-coding RNA (NBEN_LNC040402)". Lineage: Eukaryota; Viridiplantae; Streptophyta; Magnoliopsida; Solanales; Solanaceae. The record is from RNAcentral.
AGGAAAUGCUAUUUUAGUAAAGGCCGAUAACGCAGAAGUACCCCCGCUUCGUGUAUAUAAUGAAAUUUUGAAACAAGUCUGUGAAAAGGCUGAGAAAUAAAAUACGAAGAGGGGCAGCUAGACCGAGUAGGGGUUCGAAUCUAUCUCUUCGAAAGGGUUGAACACCGUGAAGUCCACCCUUUUAGCCUAGAGGAAAUUUUUAAGCAACUUUGUGAUGAAUUAACGGAUGG